GAUGAACGCUGGCGGCGUGCCUAAUACAUGCAAGUCGAGCGAACGGACGAGAAGCUUGCUUCUCUGAUGUUAGCGGCGGACGGGUGAGUAACACGUGGAUAACCUACCUAUAAGACUGGGAUAACUUCGGGAAACCGGAGCUAAUACCGGAUAAUAUUUUGAACCGCAUGGUUCAAAAGUGAAAGACGGUCUUGCUGUCACUUAUAGAUGGAUCCGCGCUGCAUUAGCUAGUUGGUAAGGUAACGGCUUACCAAGGCAACGAUGCAUAGCCGACCUGAGAGGGUGAUCGGCCACACUGGAACUGAGACACGGUCCAGACUCCUACGGGAGGCAGCAGUAGGGAAUCGUCCGCAAUGGGCGAAAGCCUGGCGGAGCAACGCCGCGUGAGUGAUGAAGGUCUUCGGAUCGUAAAACUCUGUUAUUAGGGAAGAACAUAUGUGUAAGUAACUGUGCACAUCUUGACGGUACCUAAUCAGAAAGCCACGGCUAACUACGUG
Molecule: ribosomal RNA, 497 nt
Filed under: uncultured bacterium
Lineage: Bacteria
Description: partial 16S ribosomal RNA
Rfam family: Bacterial small subunit ribosomal RNA
Source: RNAcentral